CCUAUGCCUAUGCUUGUGCCUAGGCCUAUGCCUAAGCCUAAGCCUAAGCCUGAG
This is a non-coding RNA of Caenorhabditis elegans, 54 nucleotides long. The record is from Ensembl. Lineage: Eukaryota; Metazoa; Nematoda; Chromadorea; Rhabditida; Rhabditidae.